UACAGGGGGGGCAAGCGUUGUUCGGAAUUACUGGGCGUAAAGGGUUUGUAGGUGGCCACUUAAGUCAGACGUGAAAUCCCUCAGCUUAACUGGGGAACUGCGUCUGAUACUGCGUGGCUUGAGUGCAGGAGAGGAACGCGGAAUUCCAGGUGUAGCGGUGAAAUGCGUAGAGAUGUGGAGGAACACCAAUGGCGAAGGCAGCCUUCUGGGCCAACACUGACGCUCAUGCACGAAAGCGUGGGGAGCAAACAGG
Molecule: ribosomal RNA, 253 nt
Filed under: uncultured bacterium
Lineage: Bacteria
Description: partial 16S ribosomal RNA
Rfam family: Bacterial small subunit ribosomal RNA
Source: RNAcentral